Molecule: long non-coding RNA, 2205 nt
Organism: Betta splendens (Siamese fighting fish)
Lineage: Eukaryota; Metazoa; Chordata; Actinopteri; Anabantiformes; Osphronemidae
Source: Ensembl
UCCUGUAGAACCGUUCUCUGCAGAGCUGCAGGUUCCGUUACCAGAGUGUUUAUCCGUACUCUGCCUUUCUGUAAAUCCACAUUUGGACAAACAGAACGAGAGGAAUCAACAUGUGGCGCUUUCCUCAACUCAUUAGGACUCACGACACAUUCUCCAUCCUCCGUCGUAACAACAACCACACUGAAGCACUUUUCCUCAGACACACACACACACACACACACACACCUUCUCUCAAUCUUCUAUCCACUUACGUGCUCACCCCUCCCUCCACUCCCUCUUUCUUCCAGCACGCACGCACGCACACGCACACACACACACACACACACACACACACACGCCUUCCAUCAAUCUCCUACCCGAUUACACCCGCACGCUAAAACCCCUUUUUUCACACCUCCCCAACACACAUCUCCUACCAUCCCUAAAACCUUUUUCGUUUCCUCUGGCACACACACACCGGCUCUCUUUUUGUCAACCGCUAACCCCCCUCACUCACCCAUAUCCCCCAUCCAACCCCCGCCCCCCACCCCUCUCAGUAAUCUGGCUGGCCCGUGGCCUCCUCUCUCUCGCUCCACUGUUCUGUGUGAUAGAAUAUCGAUCGGUUUGCCUCGGCUCGGCGUGGAGCAGGAGGAGGGGGGCCGCUGUAGGGCUAUAGGGAGCGUGUGUGUGUGUGUGUGUGUGUGUGUGUGUGUGUGUGUGUGUGUGUGUGUGUGUGUUAGGGGGGCAGUGGUCAGACAUGCUCCAAGGUUGUUACCACAGCAACAGCAGGAUGGGUCAGAGGGUUGCCAUGGCGCCUAGGUCGCAGGGUCAGGGGGAGGGUCUGGAGGGUUCUCGUUUUCUCCCUGCGUGUGUGUGUGUGUGUGUGAGUGUGAGUGUGUGUGUGUGUGUGUGUGAGGAGGGAGAGGAGCGUCCAGUGCAGCUAUAUUGGGUGUGUUAAUAAUGAAUGGUGUUGUAUGUAGUCACUGUCUCCUUCUCUCUCGCUGCAUCUGCGUCUCUGUCGCAAUAAUAUAUGAAGCAGCAGAACAGCAGCCUGGUUCAUUAUUUAGGGAUGAGCUUUAACUACGAGGAUAUGAGUCCACAUACGUAAAAACAAUCCGCUGCUCAGACGCCUCUGAAGCCUCAUGACCUCACGCGUUGGCAGCUCUUCUUUAAUGUUUUAGUAAAAGUAGCAAAUGUUUACAGUUUCUUUUAGUGGUGUUUCACGGGACAGAACAUUUAAUCAUUAAAACAACGCGUGAUAAUGUAAUGAAACCAUCAUUACAUAUGUGCAAAAGUCCAUAAAGUGUUUUGGAGUCCAGCGUCCGGCCGCCGGCGCUGGGAACAGUCACGGUGCUGCGUUAAACCUGCUGGAUGGAAGCCGAGAUCGUUGGCACCUCCUCUUCUCUCUGCAAAGCUGAGCCGCUGCGCUCCCUCUGCUUCCUCAGGACCGCGAUGAGGUAAAUGACGGCAACUGAAGCACACAGAGGGAAAGCGAGCAGGUGUAAGAGUGUAACAUAAUGCUGCAUUCAACAUACGCGCUCUUGUUUGUAAAGGUUUCAUGACCUACGACGAGUGAAAAGCUCAAAAUGAAGAAAAAUUUAACUUUACAUUUUUAUAUUGGUUAAAACUGUAGGUGAUGGAAAGGUUUCCUCCCAAUUUAUGACCAAAUAAUCUCAUAAAUGUUGCACUACUGCUGUAUUUGAUGGGACGAUGAUGCAGGUGUUCAGGGUCACUUUGUGGUCCAGUCUGACUGAGCUCAGCUGCGUUAAAUCUAACAGCGAACGCUUCAGUGUUUAGAGAAAAAUGUUGCCAGGUUGUGGCUCAGAAUACAAAUUCACAUCCCGUUUGACUUACUGGUCCAAAGCACCUUACUGCCCACAUUUCCUUCUGUUAGAUUUUAAGCCAGUGGACCAAACAGGAUGUUCCAGUCACAAGCGUCCGUGCGAAGCCCCUCUGAGCGCCUCUGCACCACCCGCAUCAACACCGCAGGUUAUCAGGGUGCGUGCGGCUCGGCCCACUGUGUGUGAGGCUCAUCUCACACGCGUGUGUUCACGGAAACUUCGUGACAGCGAGUGAAAGCAAAUCCAAAUGUAAACAGCAUGAAGCAGAAUCUCACCAAACACCACAAUGAGGACGCUCAUCUUCCAGUCGGUCACUAUAGGAUAAAGAAGCCAGGCUGAAUUCUCCUCUAAUAAAAGGUUGCUGUGAAGGAGAAACCUACUGUUA